GGAGAGGUUCCCGAGUGGCCAAAGGGAACAGACUGUAAAUCUGUCGGCUUAUGCCUACGAAGGUUCGAAUCCUUCCCUCUCCACCA
Molecule: transfer RNA, 86 nt
Filed under: Nitrospinota bacterium
Lineage: Bacteria; Pseudomonadati; Nitrospinota
Description: tRNA-Tyr
Rfam family: tRNA
About the family: Transfer RNA (tRNA) molecules are approximately 80 nucleotides in length.
Source: RNAcentral